Small nuclear RNA from Rattus norvegicus (Norway rat), 104 nucleotides. NCBI's taxonomy places the organism in Eukaryota, Metazoa, Chordata, Mammalia, Rodentia, Muridae. The record is from Ensembl.
GUGCUCACUUGGGCAGCACAGAUACCAAAAUUAGAACAAUGCAGAGAUUAGCAUGGCCCCUGUGCAAGGAUGACACUCAAAUUCAUGCAGCUUCCAUAUUUUAA